Molecule: signal recognition particle RNA, 214 nt
Filed under: uncultured Sneathia sp.
Lineage: Bacteria; Fusobacteriati; Fusobacteriota; Fusobacteriia; Fusobacteriales; Leptotrichiaceae
Description: Bacterial large signal recognition particle RNA
Rfam family: Bacterial large signal recognition particle RNA
About the family: The signal recognition particle (SRP) is a universally conserved ribonucleoprotein involved in the co-translational targeting of proteins to membranes. Archaeal SRP consists of a 7S RNA and homologues of the eukaryotic SRP19 and SRP54 proteins.
Source: RNAcentral
ACAAGCUGGGGAGCUAGCGGUGCCCUGUAUCCACAAUCCGCUUUAGUGGAAGCCAUAUUAGAUUUGAGGAUAAUUUUAAUAUUACGCCGUAUAUAAAGGUGUUGAGAAUGUAGUCCUAUUUGGUAGAAAUUAGGCGAACUAUGUCAGGUUGGGAACGAAGCAGCAUUAAGUUUAGAUUUCUAGGUUUAUAGGGUAGCUAGAUUUGAGCUAGAGU